AGCGCCCCAGCGCCAGGAACUCGGCCAGCAGGUCGGUGUUGCUGAGACACUGCACCACCGCGUUCAUGAAACAGGUGUUGCCGUGGUUCUUCAAGCCCUGAGCGCCCGGCGGCCGCGCCCCAUCGCCGGCGGGGAGCUGGAGCUGGGGCUGGGGUCCGGGCGGGCGUUCCUCCCCGGGGCUCCCGGGGGCCGCUGGAACUGGGCCCGGGGCGCAGGCGAAGCCCCCCUCACCGUCGCCAUCACAGUGUCCCGGCUGGGGCCGGGGCGGUGAGUCCCCGGGGCGUGAGCGGCUGCCCAGCGCCAGCAGGAAGCGGCUGAACAGGCGGCGCAGGGAGCGGCGGCGGCGGGGCCGGGGCGCGAGCGGUCCCCCUCCUGCCGCGUCCCCGGGGCCCAGGUCCAUGGCUGCCGCCGGCGCAGCUCCAGGCGCGGAGCCCCCGGGCGCGAGGCGGACGAGCGGCCAGCAGGCCCUACAGCUUCUCUAAGGCUCCUGGUGCCGGCUACCUGCGGGCCAGGUGUGCGGGGACGGGGCGGAGGCGGAGCCAAGGGCGGGGCAGCCCCGCCCCGCGCGGGAAUCCGGCGGCACGACCAGCCCCCUCCAGGGCAGCGCCGGGCCACCCCUACCCCUGCCUGGUGCCGCCCCCGCUGCGCUGACUGGGAGUCUUCGUGGUCGGAUUCCCCACCCUUCCUUACCUCGUAAACCGACAGACCUGGGUUUCGCCGCUGCUCCUGUUCCUCGAGCAGCCUUCAAGCAGUGGAAAUUACGGAGAAAUGAACAUUCUGAAAGCGCCUAGUAAAUGGUAAAGGCCUGGCUACUGCAGGAAGAAAAGGGCAAGGCAGGCAUCUCCAGAGCACAGCCUCGGGCGUGGUGAGAGGCGCGCGCUGGGCGCUGUGUGGGGGUGGGGAGCGCUUUUGUGCACCGCUGGUUCCUCCGCAGGCUCAGGUGUGUGCGGACAGGUGUCGCCACCUCCUUCCAGACCGUCUGCCCCUUGGGGGGAGGCAGAGUCUGUGCCUGCACCCGCCAACCCGGGACCUGAACUGGGAGCCACGUGUUGCCCUGUGAAAAAAGCCCCCGAGUGGUUGUGGUUUGCUUUUUUACACCACAGAUUGGGUUAGAAUCAUUUUCCAAAAACUUGCAAGACUUGAUCACCCUUGCUUUAAUCGGCAAGGAAGGGGGCUCAGAGAGGUUAUCGCAACGUAGGGAGGCCGCCCGAUCCGUAAGCAGGGAAACCGGAACUCGACCUGGAUCUAUGGACUGCCAAGUUCAGGCCCUUUCCAGCCUCAGUAUUUGCUAACCAGGAAGUUUUCAGGCUCUCAGGCGCGCCCCCUACGCGGUUUCUGGUUCACUCCUUAACGCACGAUCCUUGUUGAAUGAUUGCCCAAUCAGAAUUAGUUUGGCCUUGCCCCGCCCUUGAUUCCCUGGGUAACCCUGGGCCCCUCCCCCACCCCUCACUUUAUCCCAUGCAACUGUCAGGUUUAUAAUUAAUCAGGCAAGGUCUUGCAAAAUGACUUUCUCGUCAAUUUCUAGCUCAGGAAGAGAUCAGCACCAUGUGAGAUGCAGUAUUCUAACGCUCUGAAAUGUUACUUGUUGUUUAAUAAGUGAUCAUCAUUUAUUAAAUAUUCUUGAUCCUGGCCGGGCGCGGUGGCUCACGCCUGUAAUCCCAGCACCUUGGGAGGCCGAGACGGGCGGAUCACCUGAGGUCAGGAGUUCAAGACCAGCCUGGCCAACAUGGUGAAACCCCGUCUCGACUAAAAAUACAAAAUUAGCCAGGCGUGGUGGCGCAUGCCUGUAAUCCUAGCUACUCAGGAGGCUGAGGCAGGAGAAUCGCUUGAUUCAGUGAGCCGAGAUCGCGCCAUUGCACUCCAGCCGGGCGACAAGAGCUAAAUUGCGACAAGAGCUAAAUUCCGUCUCAAAAAACAAACAAACAAACAAAAAACUUGAUCUUUCAAACCGGGUUACAGCAGUUACCUCAUGCAAAAAAGCAGCCUUACUUAAAGGAUAAAUAACAUGCUUAAAACAUCAGACGGUACUGUGAAUCGGAGACUUGCGUUCUGGAAAAUGCCAUUAUUUACCCCUCUCUGGAAAAAGAUACCCGGCUGGGUGAUUAAUACACAAGGACACAAGGUCCAUUUCAUCACCCUUCUGGUGGAAAGCACAGAAGAAAGAUGUAAUGGCCAACUCCAAUAAAGCAUCUCUGUAAUUUCAUCUUUCUUUGGUAAUUGUCCUGAGAUCCCCAACACCACACAUUUUCUUUGAGAAAGCAUGCAUAUUUCUCUCUACCCUGUCAGGAAUUCUGCCGAUGCUUUAGUACAUUAGUCACUUAAUUCUCACAAUAACCUUUUGAGCAGGAACUUACUCUUGCUUGACAAAAGAGAAAAUUGUGGCUCAGAGAAUUUUUAAGAAGCCUGCCCAAGAUCUGGAUUUAAAUCUGAGUCUAGUCCCAUAUAGCUUGACCAAUGAAAUGGCAAUUAAGAAGGAAAUUCACCUCACCUUAUUUUUAGAGGAUAAUAGCAAUGCUGUCUGUGCACAGAUCAUGAGGAAGGUCUGUGGGUUUUGCAGAGUUGCAGAAAACAAAUUAUAACAGAAAACCAACAACUAAGAAUUUAUUCAAAAUGUUAAAAGUUCUAAUUAGAGUCUGCACAAAUUAUUCUUGAACAUACUUCAAUUUUAAUAUGCAAUUUAAGAAUAUAAAAUGCAUUCUAUAAAGAAAAAGAGAAAAAUUGACUCAAGAACAAAAACAGAGCUGUGAGAAAUGAAGACUAGUGUUGGAGUUAUCUAAACUCAGUCUUCAACAGGACUGCGUGCAACGCCAAGGCUCAGAGACAUCUCAUCAGCUUCAGGAGGUAUAUGGGUACUUCCAUCGCAAAAUGGCUCCAUCGGCACUUACACUAACAAUAUAUUGAUUUCCUGGACUUAUGCGGAUGCGUGUGAUGUUGCCACUGUGUCCCACCCCAACGUGAGUCACUUCACCCUCAUUAUAAUCCCAAACUUUGACCAGAUGGUCAUUUCCACCUGAAAAAGAUAAACACGUAUAUGGCAUUGCUGCAAUAGGAGAGAGAGAAACAGCCCUGAUUUCAAAUAACUGGAUCAUUUUCAACAUGGUCCCCAUGUAUCUGUCUUUAUAAUAACACUUUUACUUGAUUAUAAAAAUCUAUCUGUUGCAGUAAAUUUGAAGAGGAGGGGGAAAUACAAAGAGGUAAAAUCACAUUUCAUCCCACUACCCAGAAAUAACCACUAGUAAUAUCUUGGCUUAGUUCCUUCCAGUCUUUUCUCUAUAAGUAUACUGGUAUACAUAUACAUCAUAUAUAUGAUUGGGAUCACACUGUGUCUAGUUUGAUACCUGCUUUGUAGUCAAUGUACUUGUGAAACUUAAUUCAUUUCAUGCAUUUAUUUAUUUUUUACUUAUUUAUUUAUUGAGACGGACUGUCUGUCACUCAGGCUGGAGUGGAGUGGCAUGAUCUCAGCUCACUGCAGCCUCCGCCUCCCAGGCUCAAGCAAUUCUCCUGUCUCAGCCUCCCAAGUAGCUGGGAUUAUAGGCGUGCACCACCACGCCCGGCUAAUUUUUGUGUUUUUAGUAGACACAGGGUUUCACCAUGUUGGCCAGGCUGGUCUCAAACUCCUGACCCCAGGUGAUCCACCUGCCUUGGCCUCCCAAAGUGCUAGGAUUACAGGCAUGAGCCACCACGCCUGGCCGCAUUUAUUUGUUAAUAUCCUGAUGAAUCAAAGAGCUUGGCAGGAAAUGAUAAUGAUGUUCCAAUCGGCAUGUUGUGUGGUAAAUGCCCCUUUGAAAUAUUGGUUAAUUCAUUUGUUUUGGUGGGAAGGGCAUCGCAUCAUGCAAUAAUAAAGUGGAAUUAAAAGACUGGCUUUUAAGACUUUAGAAGUAUGCUGGACAGCCCAGGCCAUUUAAAGGCCCCAUUUCUAUUAUCAAUGCCCACCAAAAAUAGCAAGCCUAGCAAUCUAAGUCUUGGCUUUUAUUUGUGCUCUUAAGGCUCUUGUGCAAAUGUUUCCUCUCAUUGAAAUGUGACUUCUGGAUUUUUCUUUCUCAGCCACAUUGGCUGCAGUAUUGGUUGGAAUCUGAUUCUAACCAAGUUGCCUUGAGACCCUUUUGUUGUCUUUUCCAAUUGCCUCUAGCCUGGGAGUUCCUUCCAUGUCCUCGUCUAAAUAAGCCAGGCUUGGCUUUUUCCUAUCCCAGGACUAACCUGUGACAAAGUGCACCCCUUCCUGUGUGAUAUCCAUGCCAUUUAUCGACCCAGACAGGGAACCUUCCAAUUCUCUGAUUACUGUCCCAUCAAAUACUUCCCAGUAAGCAAUCUGGAAUUCAGGAAAGAAGCAUUAAGCAGGACUCAGCUCAGGAGAGUCAUCCAUGCACAUGCUAACAAAAGAUGGCUCUACUUUAUAUAGAAGGGAGCAAAAAUACACCACGGGAUGAUACUGGCUGAAAUUAUAAAUAGGCUACAGCAGGGGGUGGCAAAACCAUUUUAAUAUUUUUAGUAUUGGUUUUAAAUUUGCAUUCUAUUUAAAGACAUGUUGAUGUGCUGAUAAACCUGGAUUAAGACAGAAAGGGCUUUUGAUAAGACUAAGAAGAUUCAGCCUGAAGCAAGCUGUAAAAGAAAGAACAGCCUCUGCAUCCACAGCUAAGCUUCAGGCCUGGAGGGAGGAAAAGCAUUUUCUUCCUUCUCACUGGGGGAUGAGCACUCCCCACUCCCCAGAGUUCUAGAGACUGGGCUGUACAGGCACCCUCCCACUGGGACUGCGCCCUCCCUCUUCCUCACACCACCCUUAUUCCCAACUUUCCCUUCUGCUCCAAAGCACUGAAAUAUUCCACAGGGUAGAGUUUAAAGAGGAACUGGUAACCUUGGUUCCCUGUUGGGGAGCAGAACUACCUUAGGGAUGGAGAGACAGGUGCCUAAAGGAGGGUGAUUUUUUUCCUGAAUAUACUGCCUUUGUACCUUAAACUUUGUGAAUGCACAAUCUAUUCAAGAUUUAAAUUUCCUUCUUAGGAAAGAAUGCUUCUGUUUAUGAUAGCAAAGACAGGGAAUCAACCUAAAUGCCCAUCAAUGAUAGACUGCAUAAAGAAAAUGCGAUACGGCCAGCUGGGUGCAGCGGCUCACACCUAUAAUCCCAGCACUUUGGGAAGCCGAGUUGGGCCCGUUGCUUGAGGUCAGGAAUGCGAGACCAGCCUGGGCAAUAUGGUGAAACCCUGUCUGUACUAAAAAUACAAAAAUUAGCUGGAUGUGGUGGCACACACCUGUAGUGCCAGCUACUUGGGAGGGUGAGGCAUGAGAAUCACUUGUACCCAGGAGGUGAAAGUUGUAGGAGGUUGCAGUGAGCUGAGAUUAUGCCACUGCACUCCAGCCUGGGUGACAAAGUGAGACUCUGUCUCCAAAAAAAACAGAAUAAACUUAAGAAAAUGUGGCAGAUAUAUACCACGGAAUACUAUGCAGCCAUGAAAAGGAACAAGAUCAUGUCCUUUGCCGGGACAUGGAUGGAGUUGGGAGCCAUUAUCCUCAGCAAACUAACGCAGGAACAGAAAACCAAACACCACAUGUUCUCACUUACAAGUGGAAGCUGAAGGAUGAAAAGAGAUGGACACGUGGGGAAACAACACACUCUGGGGCACCUGUCGGGGGGUGGUGGGUGGGGGGAGGAAGAGCAUCAGGAAGAAUAGCUAAUGCAUGCAGGGCUUAAUACCGAGGUGAUGGGAUGAUCCGUACAGCAAACCACCACGGCACAUGUUUACCUAUGGAACAAACCUGCACAUCCUGCACAUGUACCCCUGAACUUAAAGUUGAAAAAAAAAAAAAAAAAAAGAGUGCUUGACCAGGAAUCAGGAGUGCAAACCUGCACGUGCAUUUCAUUUGUUUCUCAUUGUUUCAUGUCGGAAACGUGCUGUGUUCCAGUCACUCUGCCAGGAGUCUGUAUUCCUCUGAAUCUAGCUAGACAUUAUGCAUACUAUUUCUUGUUAAUUUUUUUCUUUUGCUUUGUAAUGUCUGUUGAUGCUUGAUCAUGUUAACAAAAAAGUUCUGAUUUCAUAGUAAACGCCUAAAGAGAUAGAAAACCAUGCCAGAACCCAUGUUUCUCAGGAUUCACACCCACAGAAGUAGUUGGAACUUGACUGCCUGCCUUCCCAGCCAAAGAAGCCAAAUUGACACUCUCCUGGGCAGCCCCAGUAGGGCUCCAUCUUACUGGAGUGUCCUCUGCCAGAGAUGCCCUUCCUUGAGGUCUAGGCAUUGACUGAGUCCUUCUGUCAUUCAGGCCUCACUCAGAUGCUGCUCCUUAAGGAGGCCUUCACCCACCACCCCAGCUGAAGGAGCUUUCCCCCGCCCGCCAGUAUCAUGUCACCAGUUCUAUCUCCUUUCUCAGUCCUUUCACCAUCUCAUCUCUUGUUCACUUGUUAUUCAUUGUCCAUUCAUGGAUUGGUUCAUGUGUGUAUUAGCCAAUUCCAUCCCCUCCUACCCAAAAUAAAUUAGGGAAGUAAGGUUCAUGAGAGCAGGGACCCCUUGCUUGCUCCAAGGGUGAACAUUCCCCCAAACAGAAGGAUGAACCUUCACCUUCCUCUUUAGCUGGGAAAUCUGUACCAUAUGUAGAAUUUUUUUUUUUUUUUAAGAGAGAGUCUUGCUCUGUCACCCAGACUGGAGUGCAGUGGUGCAAUCUUGGCUCGCCGCAACCUCCACUUCCCAGGUUCAAGCAAUUCUCAUGCCUCAGCCUCUUGAGUAGCUGAGAUUACAGGCACCCGCUACCACACCCUACUAAUUUUUUGUAUUUUUUGUAGAGAUGGGGUUUCACCAUGUUGGCUAGGCUGGUCUCGAACUCCUGACCUCAGGUGAUCCACCCGCCUCAGCCUCACAAAGUGCUGGAAUUACAGGCAUCAGCCACCACGCUUGGCUCCGUGUGUAGAUUUUUAAUGUAUUGAUGAAGUACAGUGCUGAGAGAUGAGGAGCUCUAUUGCCUUUCUGUCUGAAUUUAGUCAAAGUGAUAACCGGUUUGGGCACAGCAAUUCUACUCCAGUCUCAGAAAUUCCCUAAUAAUAAAAACCAAUCUAUUGAGUACCUACUAUGUGCCAGACCCCCUGCUAUAAGCACCAUGAGCAAGCAUGACUUUAAUCCUUACUCUAUGAGGUCAGUGGUACCAUUUCCACUUAACAGGUGGGGAAGUGAAGACACUGGAAGGUGAUAUGGCCUUUCCAAAGUGGCAUGGCUGAUUGAUGACAGACCACCAUUGGAAACAAGGUGGUUUGACUCCAGAGCCCGCACCCUCCACCACAACGCCUCACUGCUUUUCUCUUGCGCUGGAAAGAUCUCAUCUCUCACUGGGAGGACUCACCUUUCUGUCUGUUCCGCUGGUGAUGAUCUGGAACUCCUCAGGGUGAUAGCACACACACUGGAAUAAGGUGUUGGCUAGUAUCAUCUGAUUCCUCCUGAGACGCCUGGAAAGUAGAUUCAAAAGCUGUGAAAGUCGACUUUCUCUUCCCUAGGAAAUUUAUUCACUAUUCAAGCUGGAUUUGGUGCAAGCUGGGAUUUGGGUUGGUUUAUCUCCAUGCCAAACAUCUCAUACUGCUCAGCAAAGUGGUGCUUGUAUUUCUUCAAAACAGACUUCAGGUCACCCUGUCCUCUCUACUUCUGUGUACUCCGGUUGGCCUAUCAGUGACCACCAGAGGACAAUGGGAAGGGCCCUUUCCUAAAGACAGAGCACGAAACUCAAUGAGAACCCUUAAGUUCCAGGGAAGAAGAAGCAGAAGAGGCUGAACUCACAGCCAACCUGCUGCCUCCCACACAAUGUACUUGAGUCCUGAGGCCACCAUUUGGAAGUGGAGCUCCCUACAGUCUGAGAAGCAGAAUGUGGGGAAGGGUAUUUUAUUUUGUUUAUGUUUUAAUCAUCGAUGUAUCUUUAAUUCACAAAUAAAAGCUGUAGCAAGAUGUCAUGUACACAUUUGUACACAGGUUUGGACGUACCAUAUCAUGCACAACCCUCGGAAAGCACGAGCCUGUCACGUGGGGAUGUCCCAAAAGCUGGCAGGCUCAACCCUUGUCUGCAUAUGGUAUCACUGCAUCCUCCCCAUCACAGGUACCUACACAAGGUCCCAAAUGAUACAAGUCCCAUCGGUGCUGGCGGUGACACACUCCUCGUUGUUCCUCUUCACCCUAAUGCAGGACACUGAUGACUUGUGUUCCUUCAGGGCCUCCUCCAGCUUCUGGGUCUGACAGCCUAUCUGCCAUACCCUCACCUGAAAGCCACAGAGCACAGGAUCUUGAUCCACACUUGGGACUUCUGAAGGGAUAGGAAAAGAUUCCAAGAGCUUUUUCCCCUUUGCUAUGCUUGAUUUGUGUUUUUUUAAUUCCCUGUCUUUGUCUCGGUUGGGUGGGGUGUGAAUGCUAAGUUGAAGGGCAGGCAUAUUCAUGUAUAAGAUGUGAUCAUCUUCAACAGAGCUUCAAAAAUGCUACUAACAAUCCUGUACCUGCUUGUACAUACAGGCUGAGAAAUUUAAUCAGACACCUGCUAUGCAAAUCGAUAAUGCAAGGGCCAACGCAAAACCAAGUGAAAUAAUGUCUAUUCACUUUUGCUGAUCACUGCUCUCAAAUUUCUGGUACUGUCAGGAAAGUUCGUGAGUACCCAGAGCUAUAUUUAAACUUUCACAAUCAGCUGUUCAAUUUUGAUCAUUUAAAAGCAAUGGUUCCCAACUCUACUGAAUCCAAUACCUAUUUUAUAUCACAAAUAUUUCCAAAUACCUGUGUAUUAUCCUGGAGUGAAAUUCAUAGGUAAUACAACUACCUACACACAAAAUUUAAAAUCAUUAAUAUGAUGCUUUAAUAAAAAGGAUAGAUAAAAGGGAAGUUGUUUAGUUAGUAUGGUAUUCCUUCAUUUUUUGAGAUGGAGUCUUGGUCCGUCUCCCAGGCUGGAGUGCAAUGGCGCGAUCUCGGCUCACUGCGACCUCUGCCUCAUGGAUUCAAGCAAUUCUCCUGUCUCAGCCUCCCAAGUAGCUGGGACUACAGGAGUGCACCACCACACCUGGCUAAUUUUUGUAUUUUUUUUUCUUUUUUUGAGACAAAAUGUCGCUCUGUCACCCAGGCUGGAGUGCAAUGCAAUGGCGUGGUCUCGGCUCACUGCAACCUCCAACUCACCACGCCUGGCCUAAUUUUUGUAUUUUUAGUAGAGACAGGGUUUGGCCAUGUUGGCCAGGCUGGUCUCAAACUCCUGAGCUCAGGUGAUCCACCUGCCUCAGCCUCCCAAAGUGCUGAGAUUACAGGCGUGAGCCACCAGGCCCAGCCAGUAUUCCUUUAAUGGACAAAGGAUCUGUCACAACUACACCAG
Molecule: long non-coding RNA, 9307 nt
Filed under: Homo sapiens (human)
Lineage: Eukaryota; Metazoa; Chordata; Mammalia; Primates; Hominidae
Description: non-protein coding lnc-STX8-1:2
Rfam family: Metazoan signal recognition particle RNA (bases 1630-1746)
Source: RNAcentral